RNAcentral lists this ribosomal RNA (301 nucleotides) under uncultured bacterium. Its description in RNAcentral is "partial 16S ribosomal RNA". It matches the Rfam family "Bacterial small subunit ribosomal RNA", at positions 509 to 807 of the family's 1533-position model. The record is from RNAcentral.
CAGCAGCCACGGUAAUACGUAGGUGGCAAGCGUUGUCCGGAAUUACUGGGCGUAAAGGGCGCGUAGGCGGCCAUUCAAGUUAGAUGUGAAAGCCCUGGGCUCAACCUAGGAAUUGCAUUUGAUACUGUUUGGCUUGAGUUCGGGAGAGGUGAGUGGAAUUCCCAGUGUAGAGGUGAAAUUCGUAGAUAUUGGGAAGAACACCAGUGGCGAAGGCGGCUCACUGGACCGACACUGACGCUGAGGCGCGAAAGCGUGGGGAGCAAACAGGAUUAGAUACCCCAGUAGUCCCUGUCUCUUAUAC